UACGGAGGGUGCAAGCAUUAAUCGGAAUUAUUGGGCGUAAAGGGCGCGUAGGCGGAUAUGUAAGUCAGAUGUGAAAUUCCGAAGCUCAACUUCGGAGCUGCAUUUGAAACUACAUGUCUAGAGGGAUGGCGGAGAAAACGGAAUUCCACGUGUAGCGGUGAAAUGCGUAGAUAUGUGGAAGAACACCGGUGGCGAAGGCGGUUUUCUAGCUAUUUCCUGACGCUGAGGCGCGAGAGCAAGGGGAGCAAACAGG
This 253-nucleotide ribosomal RNA is filed under the name uncultured Simkania sp. Its description in RNAcentral is "partial 16S ribosomal RNA". It matches the Rfam family "Bacterial small subunit ribosomal RNA", at positions 524 to 776 of the family's 1533-position model. The record is from RNAcentral. Lineage: Bacteria; Pseudomonadati; Chlamydiota; Chlamydiia; Parachlamydiales; Simkaniaceae.